AUGCUGCAAACUGACUUGGAGAGGAUGAUUAUGCUCAGGAGAAAAGUCUGGUUUCUUGUGGCCUCGGAGGCAGCUGGAAUAGAAAAUUGGAAGGUCAGCGAUGUGAGUGGAAAACAUCCAGGGUACCAUCUGGAUGGCAGGCUGUCUAGGAGCCCCAUGUCACAGAAGGAAGAUGAAGGUAAUGCUGAGAUAAAAGUCCACUUCCCCACCGGCCAACACAAGGAGACCUCGAGGAACAGAUGUCCCAGAGUCAUCCAGGUGAGUGGCUCCUCCUGCUGGCUGCUGGUGGGAAGUGAGCAGUGGCCACUUUGUUUUAAGGUGUACAAGAAUCAUAUUCUCCUUGCCUUCCACUACACUGAAGGGAGUAUACCUCUAGUUUCCCAGAUGCCACCCAACCAACCAACAGGCCUACACUUCGCUUCAGCAGGUGUGAUGUAUCGAGUUCCUUCCAGCCAUAAUCCCCUCAUCUACAUGGGAAAUAUUCCCAAGCAACAGGAAGGAAGUAUGCCAAUGGGAAAGCGGAGGAUUUUCCCCACCUACAUGAUUUUCUGCAAUCAUUCUCCUACCAUUUAUUUACUGUAUUCAUAUCCUGCCUUGCCUCCAAUGAGUUCAAAGUGUCAUAAAUUACUCUCUUCCUCCCCAUUUUAAGUUCAGUAUUCAGUCCUAUGAGGUAGGUCAGACAGAGUGACUUCUCCAAAAUCAUCCAGUGAGUGUCAUGACUGACGGCAAAUUUGAACUCUGGACUUCUGCAUUCUGUACCACAGGGACACUUUUUAAGGUGACUAUAAUAUUUGUACAGUACAUGAAUAUCACCUCUUAUCAAUGAAUAGCAUGAUUGAACUUUAACAUUGUGCAUGUCCUUCAUUCAUGGAAUUAAUUCCAGCAAAUCAGGUUUUGGCCCCCUCAAUGAAUUCCGUGAGGGAGGGUAGCCGGACACAAACAACCGACACAGGGUCCCUUAAGAACAUUUCAUAACUAUCUCUUCCCUCUUUCAACCUAGUUCAGUCCAGUGCUUCGUUGACUAUUUGUGCUACACCUACUCUUCUUGAGUGUGAUAUAUGGAUUAUGGCCCUUUUGCGAAUGUACAGUUGAACUUAUUUCUAAAUAUACAUUUAAACCUCCAAUAGAAAGCAACGGAACUUAACAUUUAUCUUCUCUGCAGGUACCUGACAGGCUUCCAUUUCAAAAACUUAGCAGAUCUGAACUGUUUUCUUUUAUGAGGGCCAUGAUGCAGGUAAAUACUUUGCCAACAACUUAUAAGAAAAAUAAUGUCUCUCCCCACUUACACAAUAAAGUUGGUGUGAAAUUAAGAAUUGUAGUUUGG
Molecule: long non-coding RNA, 1324 nt
Filed under: Pogona vitticeps (central bearded dragon)
Lineage: Eukaryota; Metazoa; Chordata; Lepidosauria; Squamata; Agamidae
Description: lncRNA (ENSPVIG00000016992.1)
Source: RNAcentral